UGGGGAAUAUUGCACAAUGGGCGCAAGCCCGAUGCAGCAACGCCGCGUGAGGGAAGACGGUUUUCGGAUUGUAAACCUCUGUCAUUAGUGACGAAGAAGUGACGGUAGCUAAUGAGGAAGCCACGGCUAACUACGUGCCAGCAGCCGCGGUAAUACGUAGGUGGCAAGCGUUAUCCGGAUUUAUUGGGCGUAAAGCGAGCGCAGGCGGUUGCUUAGGUCUGAUGUGAAAGCCUUCGGCUUAACCGAAGAAGUGCAUCGGAAACCGGGCGACUUGAGUGCAGAAGAGGACAGUGGGACUCCAUGUGUAGCGGUGGAAUGCGUAGAUAUAUGGAAGAACACCAGUGGCGAAGGCGGCUGUCUGGUCUGCAACUGACGCUGAGGCUCGAAAGCAUGGGUAGCGAACAGGAUUAGAUACCCUGGUAGU
Molecule: ribosomal RNA, 424 nt
Filed under: uncultured Lactobacillus sp.
Lineage: Bacteria; Bacillati; Bacillota; Bacilli; Lactobacillales; Lactobacillaceae
Description: bacterial SSU rRNA
Rfam family: Bacterial small subunit ribosomal RNA
Source: RNAcentral